RNAcentral lists this unclassified non-coding RNA (215 nucleotides) under soil metagenome. RNAcentral describes it as "partial internal transcribed spacer 1". The record is from RNAcentral.
AAAGUUGUUCGAGGCGGCCCCAGGCAUCGCCAGGUGGCCGCUUAGACAUCAACACCCUCUGUAUAUCUACCGCGUUGCUUUGGCGGGACGGCAACCAGCAGCCCCGCUGGGAAGCUGUCCGUAGGGCUCUGUCCAAGGGCCCCGCGAGCGCCCGCCAGAGAACCGUCAAACUCAUGUUAAACCGUGGUGUCUGAGCUUUACCAAGCAAUAAGUUA